CCUACGGGAGGCAGCAGUGAGGAAUAUUGGUCAAUGGACGAGAGUCUGAACCAGCCAAGUAGCGUGAAGGAUGACUGCCCUAUGGGUUGUAAACUUCUUUUAUAAAGGAAUAAAACGAGGCACGUGUGCCUUUUUGCAUGUACUUUAUGAAUAAGGAUCGGCUAACUCCGUGCCAGCAGCCGCGGUAAUACGGAGGAUCCGAGCGUUAUCCGGAUUUAUUGGGUUUAAAGGGAGCGUAGAUGGGUUGUUAAGUCAGUUGUGAAAGUUUGCGGCUCAACCGUAAAAUUGCAAUUGAUACUGGCAGUCUUGAGUACAGUUGAGGUAGGCGGAAUGCGUGGUGUAGCGGUGAAAUGCUUAGAUAUCACGAUGAACCCCGAUUGCGAAGGCAGCUUACUAAACUGUGACUGACAUUGAUGCUCGAAAGUGUGGGUAUCGAACAGGAUUAGAUACCCUGGUAGUC
RNAcentral lists this ribosomal RNA (460 nucleotides) under uncultured bacterium. Its description in RNAcentral is "partial 16S ribosomal RNA". It matches the Rfam family "Bacterial small subunit ribosomal RNA", at positions 338 to 795 of the family's 1533-position model. The record is from RNAcentral.